AGUAGCAAAUGGGUGAGUAACACGUACCUAACCUACCUUUUGGACCGGGAUAACUAUUGGAAACAGCAGCUAAUACCGGAUAAAAUAAAAAAAUGCAUGUUUUUUUAUUAAAAGGAGCCUUUAAAGCUCCACCAAAAAAUGGGGGUGCGCAACAUUAGUUAGUUGGUAGGGUAAAGGCCUACCAAGACGAUGAUGUUUAGCGGGGCCAAGAGGCUGUACCGCCACACUGGGAUUGAGAUACGGCCCAGACUCCUACGGGAGGCAGCAGUAAGGAAUAUUCCACAAUGAGCGAAAGCUUGAUGGAGCGACACAGAGUGCAGGAUGAAGUC
This 329-nucleotide ribosomal RNA is filed under the name Mesomycoplasma ovipneumoniae. RNAcentral describes it as "Mycoplasma ovipneumoniae partial 16S ribosomal RNA". It matches the Rfam family "Bacterial small subunit ribosomal RNA", at positions 94 to 415 of the family's 1533-position model. The record is from RNAcentral. Lineage: Bacteria; Bacillati; Mycoplasmatota; Mycoplasmoidales; Metamycoplasmataceae.